GAUCAAGCUACAAAGGGCGCACGGUGAAUGCCCUGGCACUAGGAGCCGAUGAAGGACGUGAUAAGCUGCGAUAAGCUACAUGUAGGCGCACAUAGCCUGUGAUAUGUAGAUUUCCGAAUGGGGAAACCCAUCUAGUUAUGCUAGAUACUGUAUACUGAAUUCAUAGGUAUAUGGAGGUACACCUGGGGAACUGAAACAUCUAAGUACCCAGAGGAAGAGAAAGAAAAUUCGAUUCCCUAAGUAGCGGCGAGCGAAAGGGGAAGAGCCCAAACCAGGAACUUGUUCCUGGGGUUGCGGAUAGGUCAUAACGCUUUGAUUUCUUUAGUUGAAGAGAACUGGAAAGUUCCGUCGUAGAAGGUAAUAACCCUGUAGGCGAAAAGGAAAGAAAAGUAGAUCUACUCCAGAGUACCACGAGACACGUGAAACCUUGUGGGAAGCUGGGAGGACCAUCUCCCAAGGCUAAAUACUACCUAGUGACCGAUAGUGAAGCAGUACCGUGAGGGAAAGGUGAAAAGAACCCCGGAAGGGGAGUGAAAUAGAAUCUGAAACCGUGUGCCUACAAUCGGUCGGAGCACAUUAAAGUGUGACGGCGUACUUUUUGUAGAACGGGCCAGCGAGUUACGAUAUAUAGCAAGGUUAAGCACUUAUGGUGUGGAGCCGAAGGGAAACCGAGUCUGAAUAGGGCAACUAGUUGUAUAUUGUAGACCCGAAACCGGGUGACCUAUCCAUGGCCAGGAUGAAGCGGAAGUAAAAUUCCGUGGAGGUCCGAACCACGUUGGUGUUGAAAAACCAUGGGAUGAGCUGUGGAUAGCGGAGAAAUUCCAAUCGAACUCGGAGAUAGCUGGUUCUCCUCGAAAUAGCUUUAGGGCUAGCGUCGGGUAAUUGAGUAGUGGAGGUAGAGCACUGAAUGGGCUAGGGGCUGACAACAGUUACUGAACCCUAUCAAACUCCGAAUGCCAUAUACUUGUACCCCGGCAGUCAGACUACGAAUGAUAAGAUCCGUGGUCAAAAGGGAAACAGCCCAGACCAUCAGCUAAGGUCCCAAAGUGUAAGUU
This 1055-nucleotide ribosomal RNA is filed under the name Clostridium novyi B str. NCTC 9691. Its description in RNAcentral is "bacterial LSU rRNA". It matches the Rfam family "Bacterial large subunit ribosomal RNA", at positions 1 to 1060 of the family's 2925-position model. The record is from RNAcentral. Lineage: Bacteria; Bacillati; Bacillota; Clostridia; Eubacteriales; Clostridiaceae.